Molecule: non-coding RNA, 27 nt
Filed under: Mus musculus (house mouse)
Lineage: Eukaryota; Metazoa; Chordata; Mammalia; Rodentia; Muridae
Source: RNAcentral
UGGCUGUUAUUAUUGGAAACACUAUAG